UUGUAGUUUCUUGGGAUUUAUUUGAGUUAUUAUUUUUUAUAAAAAAUAAUUUUUUGUUUGAGUAAUUUUUAGUGAAAUAAUUUAAUUUCCUAUAGUUUAUUGAUCUGUGAGGGUUUUAUUAUUUUAAUUGUAAAAGUUUAUUUUAUUUAUAGUACCUUUUGUAUCAGGGCUUUUUAAUUUAAAAUAAUUAUUUAUUUUUCCCGAAUUGUAAAUAGUUAAUGCAAUAUGUUAGUGGCUGUUUCAAAAUUCUUAACAAUAUUGUGUUGGAUGAUAUAUUUGAGUCAUUUUUCUAUAUCUGGUUAUUGAAGAUUUAAAUUUAAUUUAUUUAAUAAUUGUGGUUUUAAAUUUUAUUAAUUUCAUAGUUAUUAAAACGUUAAAAGGGGAUUAGCUCUUUUUAUAUUCUAUAAAUGAUUAUUUUUUAUUUUUUGUAGGAUUAGAAUUUUCUAUCAUUGAUAAUGUUAUAAUGUAUUUUAUAAUUAUUUGGAUUUUUAUUUUUUUAGAUUUUUAUUCAAUAAUUAAUUUAAUUUUUUAUUUUAUUUAUAAUGAUUAGAUUAGUAAAUUAGGCAAUUCAUUUUUAUGAACUUGGCAAAUUUUACUUCCACCUGUUUAUCAAAAACAUGUCCUAUAGUUAUUUAUUUUAGGUCAGGCCUGCCCACUGAUUAUUUAAAUGGCCGCGGUAUUUUGACCGUGCAAAGGUAGCAUAAUCAUUUGUCUCUUAAUUGGAGGCUAGAAUGAAUGGUUAAAUGAGAAGUUUCCUUUAUUUUUUUGAAUUGUUGAAUUUAAUUUUUGAGUCAAAAAGCUUAAAUUUUUUUAUGGGACGAGAAGACCCUAUAGAACUUUACUUGUUUAAUUUUUAUUUUUAUUUAGUUAAUUUUUAUUUUGAAUUUUUGGCAAGUUUAGUUGGGGCGACUUUGAAAAUUUAUUAACUUUCAUAUAUAUUUGUUCACUAAUUUGUGUUUUUUUGAUCCAUUUUAAUGAUUAAUAGUUUAAGUUACCUUAGGGAUAACAGCGUAAUUUGUUUAGAGAGUUCUUAUCGAUAAAUAAGUUUGCGACCUCGAUGUUGAAUUAAGAUUACCCAAGGGUGCAGAAUUUCUUGUGGUAGGUCUGUUCGACCUUUAAAUUCUUACAUGAUUUGAGUUCAAACCGGCGUGAGCCAGGUUGGUUUCUAUCUUUAAAUUUUUUAAUUAUCUUAGUACGAGAGGAUUGGGUAGUUGAUUAAUUAUUUAUUUUUUGUUUAAUAUU
RNAcentral lists this ribosomal RNA (1242 nucleotides) under Coreidae sp. EMHAU-2015-Zz052308. RNAcentral describes it as "16S ribosomal RNA". The stretch from base 815 to 1171 matches the Rfam family "Archaeal large subunit ribosomal RNA", at positions 2154 to 2712 of the family's 2987-position model. The record is from RNAcentral. Lineage: Eukaryota; Metazoa; Arthropoda; Insecta; Hemiptera; Coreidae.